GAUGAACGCUGGCGGCGUGCCUAAUACAUGCAAGUCGAGCGAACAGACGAGGAGCUUGCUCCUCUGACGUUAGCGGCGGACGGGUGAGUAACACGUGGAUAACCUACCUAUAAGACUGGGAUAACUUCGGGAAACCGGAGCUAAUACCGGAUAAUAUAUUGAACCGCAUGGUUCAAUAGUGAAAGACGGUUUUGCUGUCACUUAUAGAUGGAUCCGCGCCGCAUUAGCUAGUUGGUAAGGUAACGGCUUACCAAGGCAACGAUGCGUAGCCGACCUGAGAGGUUGAUAGGCAACACAGGAACUGAGACACGGUCAGAAGCCUAAGGGGAGGCACAGGUGGGAAACUUUCCCAAAUGGGGGAAACCCUGACGGACCAACCCGGCGUUGGUAAGAAAGGUUUCGGGAUCGUAAACCCUUUUAAUUAGGGAAGAGCAAAUGUGUAAGGAACUAUGCCCUUUUGGACGUACCCUAACAAGAAAGCCAGGGCUAAUUCGGU
This 496-nucleotide ribosomal RNA is filed under the name uncultured bacterium. RNAcentral's name for it is "partial 16S ribosomal RNA". It matches the Rfam family "Bacterial small subunit ribosomal RNA", at positions 28 to 506 of the family's 1533-position model. The record is from RNAcentral.